RNAcentral lists this long non-coding RNA (617 nucleotides) under Homo sapiens (human). RNAcentral's name for it is "HSALNT0170438". The record is from RNAcentral. Lineage: Eukaryota; Metazoa; Chordata; Mammalia; Primates; Hominidae.
CAGAGGUAGGCCUGCUGCCAACACAGGGCCUGGGAACGUGGUGCCUCAUCUGGCCCAGCCGGGGCCCAGAACAGCACCCUUCCUGGGAGAUCAGGCUCCAGUGUUGACCCCUUGCCCUGGCUCAUCGGCUCCUCCCGGCUGUGCCGGGAUUCCUGGCUCUUGGUCCCCAUCCACCCCUCCUCCCUGGCAAGCCAGGCUGCAGGCCCCACCUUCUCCCCAGCUCCUUCCUUCCUCCUGUGGCCCAUGCUGUCUCCAGGAGAGCAGGGGGCUCAGGAAGGGAUUCUGCCCGUGGGCACUGCUGACCUGGGCAGGCAGGGGCAGGGUGGGCUGCACUUCCUCCCAUCUCAGGACCUGGCAGGGGUGGCACAGCCCAGCUGCAGGGACUCUGGCGGGAGUGAGCUGCCCUGCCCCCACUGUGCCUCUCAGGGCCUGUCCCCCUCCCACCUGAGCCCUCCACUGGGCGUCUCUUCUGAAUCCAGUCCAUGCCCACUGGCUGCCUGUGCCCCAGGUUGGGCUUUGCGCUGGAGCUGCACCCCAGGCUCUGCAAAGCCACCAUGGUGACAGUGUUUCCAGGGAAACCACAGCAGGCUGCCAGCUCCUGUGGAGCUCUUGUCUGA